GCCAGGCAGUAGUUGUACCGAUAGGCGUGCUCGCGCUACACACUGCGUAUUCCUGGCAGAUGCGUGUUUUUGUUAUGAAUCGACCGUCCGCUCUCCUUGUGCACUGGAGCCUUGGGACUGUAGCAGCGCGAGGCGAACUUACUGGCUUUCCUUACCUCUGACGAGCCGUUUCCACUUACUCUCUUUUUAUGUGCUUAUCCCGUUAUAGAACUAAGAUAAAAACGAUUUGUUUGAGUAAAAAAGGAAGGUGGAUAGAAAAAAACUAAGAAAAACAAAUAGUUCGUUUGCCAGUGUUCAAAUUAUAUCAAUAGCUGUACGGGAAGAGGAGCCGUAAGACCGGCUGCACACGAGCAAGAAACUGCAGUUGUGUUGGUUGAACGAACGAGGAGGACGGAGGAACUGCAAGCCCUGCAGAGAGCCGUCGGACUCAGCGCUCAGGCAUGGAACCGGGGCUGCGGCCCGGCUCAGAGGAACACGGACCCCUGCCCCUGUGAGCCCCUCCCGCCGUCCACCCACGCUCACUGCUGUUGCAUGGAGGGAAGAGGAAGAGCGCCCUGCUGUCUGCAACCCAGCCCAGAACCCACGUAGGAAAACUCAAACAGCCCCAGAGACGGGAGCAGUCCAGCGCUCCAGCCGCACCCUCGCUCGUAGGGAAGCCCACAGAGGGAACUGCUCCACGCUGUUACUCUGUCAUCGGCCGUGUACCUGCAGCGCAGAUUCGACUCCUGCAGCCAUAUAACAUUCGUCUGUGAUAAAUACAGUGGAGCUGAGGACUCCUUACAGUGCAGGUCUCCACACAAGAUGGAUUAGAGACGGAUUCCUUCGUGGCUGUGAGAAACGCGAGGAGCAGUCCCAACAAGCCCGAGGGUUUUAUCUCAUACUUAAACACUGAAGACAUCAUCCUGUGACACCAGGAGGAUGUGGAUUAGCAUAAAUACACGUGGCUUUAUACUGUAAUUCCUGGCCCAACCGUGUGAGUCGCAUUACCGAAUUAGCCCUCGGUCGACAACCGCUGACUUCGCAACGUUGUUGGCUAGCGAAGCUAGUGACGUAUCCCCGGGCUGGCUGAGAGCAGCAGAUGCCGCCCAUACCACCAUAACACUGACGGGACCUUCGGUGCCUUGUCCCCUCGGCUGUCCCACAGAGCGGCGUCUCCUCCGCCAUUACCGUUAAAAGUAAUCACUGUCGCUAGUUCCCAGACUGUAGCUACGGAGGCUUUCCCCUGGACCCCUAACAGUUCCGUAACUCGGUGCUUAAUAAAGCCGUUGUGACCGCUGC
Anguilla rostrata (American eel) is the source of this 1278-nucleotide long non-coding RNA. RefSeq lists it as uncharacterized. The record is from RefSeq and is a predicted model, not a curated record. The transcript is spliced from 4 exons. Lineage: Eukaryota; Metazoa; Chordata; Actinopteri; Anguilliformes; Anguillidae.